AUUGAACGCUGGCGGCAGGCCUAACACAUGCCAGUCGAGCGGAUGAAGGGAGCUUGCUCCUGGAUUCAGCGGCGGACGGGUGAGUAAUGCCUAGGAAUCUGCCUGGUAGUGGGGGAUAACGUCCGGAAACGGGCGCUAAUACCGCAUACGUCCUGAGGGAGAAAGUGGGGGAUCUUCGGACCUCACGCUAUCAGAUGAGCCUAGGUCGGAUUAGCUAGUUGGUGGGGUAAAGGCCUACCAAGGCGACGAUCCGUAACUGGUCUGAGAGGAUGAUCAGUCACACUGGAACUGAGACACGGUCCAGACUCCUACGGGAGGCAGCAGUGGGGAAUAUUGGACAAUGGGCGAAAGCCUGAUCCAGCCAUGCCGCGUGUGUGAAGAAGGUCUUCGGAUUGUAAAGCACUUUAAGUUGGGAGGAAGGGCAGUAAGUUAAUACCUUGCUCUUUUGACGUUACCAACAGAAUAAGCACCGGCUAACUUCGUG
Molecule: ribosomal RNA, 484 nt
Filed under: uncultured bacterium
Lineage: Bacteria
Description: partial 16S ribosomal RNA
Rfam family: Bacterial small subunit ribosomal RNA
Source: RNAcentral